This 148-nucleotide small RNA is filed under the name Callithrix jacchus (white-tufted-ear marmoset). Its description in RNAcentral is "Metazoan signal recognition particle RNA (ENSCJAG00000078866.1)". Lineage: Eukaryota; Metazoa; Chordata; Mammalia; Primates; Cebidae. The record is from Rfam by way of RNAcentral.
GCUGGGCAUGGUGACGCAUGCCUGUAAUCCCAGCUACUUGGGAGGCCGAGGCAGGAGAAUCGCUUGAACCUGGGAGGUGGAGGUUGCAGUGAGCUGAGAUGGCACCAUUGCACUCCAGCCUGGGUGACAGGGCGAGACUCUGUCUCAA